AGGCGCAUNCCUAUACAUGCAAGUCGAACGAGUUCUCGUUGAUGAUCGUGUGCUGUGCACCGAGAUUCAACAUGGAACAAUUGGCGGACGGGUGAGUAACACGUGGGUAACCUGCCCUUAAGUGGGGGAUAACAUUUGAAAACAGAUGCUAAUACCGCAUAGAUCCAAGAACCGCGUGGUUCUUGGCUGAAGUAUGGCGUAAGUCUAUCUCUUUUGGAUGGACCCGCGGCGUAUUAGCUAGUUGGUGAGGUAAUGGCUCACCAAGGCGAUGAUACGUAGCCGAACUGAGAGGUUGAUCGGCCACAUUGGGACUGAGACACGGCCCAAACUCCUACGGGAGGCAGCAGUAGGGAAUCUUCCACUAUGGACGCAAGUCUGAUGGAGCAACGCCGCGUGAGUGAAGAAGGCUUUCGGGUCGUAAAACUCUGUUGUUGGAGAAGAAUGGUCGGCAGAGUAACUGUUGUGGGCGUGACGGUAUCCAACCAGAAAGCCACGGCUAACUACGUGCCAGCAGCCGCGGUAAUACGUAGGUGGCAAGCGUUAUCCGGAUUUAUUGGGCGUAAAGCGAGCGCAGGCGGUUUUUUAAGUCUGAUGUGAAAGCCCUCGGCUUAACCGAGAGAAGCGCCUCGAAAUCUGGGAAACUUGAGUGCAGAAGAGGACAGUGGAACUCCAUGUGUAGCGGUGAAAUGCGUAUAUAUAUGGAAGAACACCAGUGGCGAAGGCGGCUGUCUGGUCUGUAACUGACUCUGAUGCUCGAGAGCAUGCGUAGCGAACAGGAUUAGAUACCCUGGUAGUCCAUGCCGUACACUAUGAAUGCUAGGUGUUGAAGGGUCUCCGCCCUUCAGUGCCGCAGCUAACGCAUUAAGCAUUCCGCCUGGGGAGUACUACCGCAAGGUUGACACUCAAGGAAUUGACGGGGGCCCGCACAAGCUGUGGAGCAUGUGGUUUUUUUCAANGCAACGCAAACACCUUACCGGGUCNUGACUUCUUUUGAUUCCUGACAUANAGGAUUACCCUUCGGGNUCACAUCCACAGGAGUNGGGGGUGUCUCAGCUCGUGCGGGAGAUGUGGGUUAAGUCCGCAACGAGCCAACCCUUUGUAGANUUGCCNNUAUUAGUAGGAAUUCUAGAAAAUUCCGGUAAAAACCGNNNNAAGGGGGGAUGACCCAAAACAUGCGCCCUUUGACCUGGCGUAACCCCGUCUAAUUGGAUGUUACCCAUGUUNAAACCCGG
This 1232-nucleotide ribosomal RNA is filed under the name Lacticaseibacillus casei. RNAcentral describes it as "bacterial SSU rRNA". It matches the Rfam family "Bacterial small subunit ribosomal RNA", at positions 40 to 1257 of the family's 1533-position model. The record is from RNAcentral. Lineage: Bacteria; Bacillati; Bacillota; Bacilli; Lactobacillales; Lactobacillaceae. RNAcentral also lists the same sequence under 1 other name.